This 515-nucleotide transfer RNA is filed under the name Pseudomonas sp. DFS07. RNAcentral's name for it is "partial 16S-23S ribosomal RNA intergenic spacer". The stretch from base 84 to 157 matches the Rfam family "tRNA". The record is from RNAcentral. Lineage: Bacteria; Pseudomonadati; Pseudomonadota; Gammaproteobacteria; Pseudomonadales; Pseudomonadaceae.
AAUCGACGACAUCAGCUGCUCCAUAAGUUCCCACACGAAUUGCUUGAUUCAUUGAAGAAGACGAUAAGAAGCAGCCCGAAAUUGGGUCUGUAGCUCAGUUGGUUAGAGCGCACCCCUGAUAAGGGUGAGGUCGGCAGUUCGAAUCUGCCCAGACCCACCAAUUUUGUGUGGGAAACGCCUGUAGAAAUACGGGGCCAUAGCUCAGCUGGGAGAGCGCCUGCCUUGCACGCAGGAGGUCAACGGUUCGAUCCCGUUUGGCUCCACCACUACUGCUUCUGAAAGUUUUGAAAGCUUAGAAAUGAGCAUUCCAUCCAAGCGAUGGUGAAUGUUGAUUUCUAGUCUUUGAUUAGAUCGUUCUUUAAAAAUUUGGGUAUGUGAUAGAAAGAUAGACUGAACGUUACUUUCACUGGUAACGGAUCAGGCUAAGGUAAAAUUUGUGAGUUCUCUUAAUUGAGAAAUUCGAAUUUUCGGCGAAUGUCGUCUUCACAGUAUAACCAGAUUGCUUGGGGUUAUAU